This 476-nucleotide long non-coding RNA is filed under the name Vigna radiata. RNAcentral describes it as "long non-coding RNA (VRAD_LNC010617)". The record is from RNAcentral. Lineage: Eukaryota; Viridiplantae; Streptophyta; Magnoliopsida; Fabales; Fabaceae.
UUUCAUGUAAACUAAUCGUGGAAGACUUGACAAAAGAAAAGAAUUUGAGGUUUAAAUGCAAAAACAAAAGUAAACAUGCAAAUGCAAGUGAUUCAAUGGUUGAGGAAAAACUAUGAAUGAAUGGUGUUGUUGGGGUUUACAAUUUCAUCUUAUCCACUCUCAUUUAUCUACUCUUCUUAUUUAAUUCACUUAUUUAUCUAAUUGCAUGCAAACUUUCUUGGUCUACCCUUAACUCAAUCCCUUGGUGAAAAGAGCCUACUAUUAAUUACCAGCUUGCUAUCCCUAGCCUCCCCUAGUAACUGAUAAUGCAUAGCGAACGGAAGCAAAAUACAAUUGAUCGUCCUACCCCUAUCCCUAGGCGGUAUUAGCAUAAUCAAGGAAUUUCCCACCAGUUCAUGACAUUACCGUACGUCCCCGUAUCAAUAAAGACAAACGACUUUUACUGAAUGAGAUAAACAAUAAAAGCAUUAAGCAUA